GAUGAACGCUGGCGGCGUGCUUAACACAUGCAAGUCGAACGAUGAAGCUCAGCUUGCUGGGUGGAUUAGUGGCGAACGGGUGAGUAACACGUGAGUAACCUGCCCUUAACUCUGGGAUAAGCCUGGGAAACUAGGUCUAAUACCGGAUAGGAGCGCCUACCGCAUGGUGGGUGUUGGAAAGAUUUAUCGGUUUUGGAUGGACUCGCGGCCUAUCAGCUUGUUGGUGAGGUAAUGGCUCACCAAGGCGACGACGGGUAGCCGGCCUGAGAGGGUGACCGGCCACACUGGGACUGAGACACGGCCCAGACUCCUACGGGAGGCAGCAGUGGGGAAUAUUGCACAAUGGGCGAAAGCCUGAUGCAGCGACGCCGCGUGAGGGAUGACGGCCUUCGGAUUGUAAACCUCUUUCAGUAGGGAAGAAGCGAAAGUGACGGUACCUGCAGAAGAAGCACCGGCUAACUACGUG
This 466-nucleotide ribosomal RNA is filed under the name uncultured bacterium. Its description in RNAcentral is "partial 16S ribosomal RNA". It matches the Rfam family "Bacterial small subunit ribosomal RNA", at positions 28 to 507 of the family's 1533-position model. The record is from RNAcentral.